This 1444-nucleotide long non-coding RNA is filed under the name Zonotrichia albicollis (white-throated sparrow). RNAcentral describes it as "lncRNA (ENSZALG00000015923.1)". The record is from RNAcentral. Lineage: Eukaryota; Metazoa; Chordata; Aves; Passeriformes; Passerellidae.
GUGCCCCUGGCUCAGUGCAGGUAACGCGGCCCCUGAGGGCGGCUGAGGGCACUCGGCUCCUUCAGCCCGGAGGAGCUGAGGGAGCCCCGCAGUGUGGUCUUCAACAUCCUCACAAGGGGAAGGAGACGGGCAGACACUGAUCCCUUAUCUGUGGUGAUCAGUGACAGGACCCGAGCGAAUGGCCUGGAGUUGUGUCGGGGGAGAUUUAGCUUGGAUAUUAGGAAAAGUUCUUCCUGCAUAGGGUGGUUGGACACUGAACAGGCUCCCCAGGGCAGUGGUCACAGCACCAAGCCUGACAGAGCUCAAGGAAUGUUUGGACAGGGCUUUCAGGAUGUGACCUUGGGCUGUCCUGUGCAGGACCAAGACCUGGACUCAAUGAUCUUUGUGGAUCCCUUCUAACUCAAGAUAUUCUAUGAUUCCAUGAUAAAUAUUUUUUUCGUGCCUUAAUUUAAAAUGCACGUGGAUUAUGCAGCAGAGAUAAAGAAGUGAAACAAGACAACCAAACUUCAGGACAGGGGUAAGGGUUUCACAACAAUGGGGGGGAAAUAGUCUGGACAGCUUAGUAUGAAGCGGAGGGUCAAGGAAGAUCGGAUUAACCACGGCCACAUGUAGAUCUGACUAGCUACUAGCAUUAAAUAAGCCUGCAAAAUAAUAACUUCUUAGUCUUUUCGAAAACAUCUAACUAAAAACAUCUAACUAAACUAGGUUCUUGGGUAAGUAAGUACUAAACUAGGUUCUUGGGUAAGAAGCUACUGAGGUGAACUUUUCAAAAAUGUCAACUGGAAAGCAGCUUUGCACAAGACUUACUGGAACAAAGCAAUACCUAAUAGUUCACCAAAUAGCUUCAGCUUCCUGGUAUUCCUUGUACUCCUCAGUAUAUGGAGAACUUGAGGGGAUAUCUGAGGUAUUAAAUUCACCAACUCCAUACUAUUUCUGUAGGUUUGAAUGGCACAAAGAGGAGGAGGUGCUCUGCACUGGUCUGUAGGUGCCCAGAUCCCCAGAUGAGCUGUAGGGACAUUAAGUGCUUUGCUUGGGAUCUGCCACACUGGCUGGCUGUUCUUUACAAGAUGCACCAGGCGCUGCUGGACAUAACUCUGAACCUCUCCCAGGGGCAGGGGCCUGAUCUUUUGGCAAAACUGAAAGCAAAGUUCAUGUCUGUGGCCUGUGACCCCCUUUUACACCCAAGGCCAUGAUUUAAGAGACCACAAUUUCCUCUAUGGCCUGAAAGGUGACAAGCCUCAACCUCGCAGCCUCGAGGAGGAGGAGGAAGUUCCAGGCUGUGCUGGACAUCUCCACAGCUGUUCCCAUGAAAACUGUUCUGCCUGACUUCCCAACUGGAGGGUGUUUCUCCUGUGACUGGGCCUGAAUUCAUGAGGCACACACCUUUAAAAUCUGUAAAUAGUCACCAAUUAAAAGUACUGAAAUAAAGCUUGGGUGAAGGGCA